RNAcentral lists this ribosomal RNA (425 nucleotides) under uncultured bacterium. RNAcentral's name for it is "partial 16S ribosomal RNA". It matches the Rfam family "Bacterial small subunit ribosomal RNA", at positions 354 to 796 of the family's 1533-position model. The record is from RNAcentral.
GUGGGGAAUCUUGCGCAAUGGGCGAAAGCCUGACGCAGCCAUGCCGCGUGAAUGAUGAAGGUCUUAGGAUUGUAAAAUUCUUUCACCGGGGACGAUAAUGACGGUACCCGGAGAAGAAGCCCCGGCUAACUUCGUGCCAGCAGCCGCGGUAAUACGAAGGGGACUAGCGUUGCUCGGAAUUACUGGGCGUAAAGGGCGCGUAGGCGGACAGUUUAGUCAGAGGUGAAAGCCCAGGGCUCAACCUUGGAAUUGCCUUUGAUACUGGCUGUCUUGAGUACGGGAGAGGUGAGUGGAACUCCGAGUGUAGAGGUGAAAUUCGUAGAUAUUCGGAAGAACACCAGUGGCGAAGGCGACUCACUGGCCCGUUACUGACGCUGAGGCGCGAAAGCGUGGGGAGCAAACAGGAUUAGAUACCCCAGUAGUCC